GACGAACGCUGGCGGCGUGCCUAAUACAUGCAAGUCGAACGAGUGGCGGACGGGUGAGUAAUGUCUGGGGAUCUGCCCGAUAGAGGGGGAUAACUACUGAAAACGGUAGCUAAUACCGCAUACUAUCGGAUGAACCCAUAUGGGAUUAGCUAGUAGGUGAGGUAAUGGCUCACCUAGGCGACGAUCCCUAGCUGGUCUGAGAGGAUGAUCAGCCACACUGGGACUGAGACACGGCCCAGACUCCUACGGGAGGCAGCAGUGGGGAAUAUUGCACAAUGGGCGCAAGCCUGAUGCAGCCAUGCCGCGUGUAUGAAGAAGGCCUUAGGGUUGUAAAGUACUUUCAGCGGGGAGGCGUUACCCGCAGAAGAAGCACCGGCUAACUCCGUGCCAGCAGCCGCGGUAAUUC
RNAcentral lists this ribosomal RNA (406 nucleotides) under uncultured bacterium. RNAcentral's name for it is "partial 16S ribosomal RNA". It matches the Rfam family "Bacterial small subunit ribosomal RNA", at positions 28 to 526 of the family's 1533-position model. The record is from RNAcentral.